RNAcentral lists this non-coding RNA (28 nucleotides) under Bombyx mori (domestic silkworm). The record is from RNAcentral. Lineage: Eukaryota; Metazoa; Arthropoda; Insecta; Lepidoptera; Bombycidae.
UACAAGUCUAUGACGAAGUGAAUGAUGC